UACGUAGGCAGCGAGCGUUGUUCGGAGUUACUGGGCGUAAAGAGUGCGUAGGCGGUUUUCUAAGUUUGGUGUGAAAUCUCCCGGCUCAACUGGGAGGGUGCGCCGAAGACUGGAAGGCUUGAGUAUGGGAGAGGUAAGCGGAAUUCCUGGUGUAGCGGUGAAAUGCGUAGAUAUCAGGAGGAACACCUGCGGUGUAGGCGGCUUACUGGACCAUAACUGACGCUGAGGCACGAAAGCGUGGGUAGCAAACAGG
Molecule: ribosomal RNA, 253 nt
Filed under: uncultured bacterium
Lineage: Bacteria
Description: partial 16S ribosomal RNA
Rfam family: Bacterial small subunit ribosomal RNA
Source: RNAcentral